CCUUUACGGGAGGCAGCAGUGAGGAAUAUUGGUCAAUGGACGUAAGUCUGAACCAGCCAAGUAGCGUGCAGGAUUGACGGCCCUAUGGGUUGUAAACUGCUUUUGUUGGGGAGUAAAGUUGGGCACGCGUGCCUUUUUGCAGGUACCGCAUGAAUAAGGACCGGCUAAUUCCGUGCCAGCAGCCGCGGUAAUAAGG
RNAcentral lists this ribosomal RNA (196 nucleotides) under uncultured bacterium. Its description in RNAcentral is "partial 16S ribosomal RNA". It matches the Rfam family "Bacterial small subunit ribosomal RNA", at positions 335 to 528 of the family's 1533-position model. The record is from RNAcentral.